Molecule: ribosomal RNA, 446 nt
Filed under: uncultured bacterium
Lineage: Bacteria
Description: bacterial SSU rRNA
Rfam family: Bacterial small subunit ribosomal RNA
Source: RNAcentral
CAUGCAAGUAGAACGGUAACAGUCCUUCGGGAGCUGACGAGUUGCGAACGGGUGCGUAACGCGUAUGCAACCUACCUAUAACUGAGGGAUAGCCCAUAGAAAUGUGGAUUAAUACCUCAUAACAACUAAAGAUGGCAUCAUCUUAAGUUUAAAACUCCGGUGGUUAUAGAUGGGCAUGCGUGACAUUAGCUAGUUGGUGAGGUAACUGCUCACCAAGGCAACGAUGUCUAGGGGUUCUGAGAGGAUGAUCCCCCACACUGGUACUGAGACACGGACCAGACUCCUACGGGAGGCAGCAGUGAGGAAUAUUGCGCAAUGGAGGAAACUCUGACGCAGCCAUGCCGCGUGCAGGAUGACUGCCCUAUGGGUUGUAAACUGCUUUUAUAUAGGAAGAACUACAGAUACGUGUAUUUGUUUGACGGUACUAUACGAAUAAGGACCGGCUA